RNAcentral lists this long non-coding RNA (761 nucleotides) under Homo sapiens (human). RNAcentral describes it as "non-protein coding RORA-AS1:8". The record is from RNAcentral. Lineage: Eukaryota; Metazoa; Chordata; Mammalia; Primates; Hominidae.
GGCUGCUCCCCUCCUUUCCUCCCGCCACAAGCGCUCGCUGUGGUUCUGGCAGCGAAGUGCGAGACUGGGCUCGCCAGGCGGAAGUGGUUGGAGACUGCGUGUUUUCCUAGAAAGUCCUCGACCUUCGUCGGGGAGAGGAGGGGAGUGAUAAAUUGGAAGGCGGACAAGCGACAAGUGCGGUACUGGAAAGACCCAAACAUACUUGGUUGUGACCUCAGGACUCAAUAAAAUAAACAGCUGGAAAUAAGCAGACUAGUGUAAGAGUGAAUUGAAAAGAAAACCCAAGGUCACAUCUCCCAAGAAGCAGUAAUGUUCCAGCAAUAAGAAAAGGACAGUUUUUUGUCUUUUGCAUGGUGAGCCUUAUAUGAAUUACAUCAAUUUUGUCACCAAUAUCCAUCAUCAGAACAUUUUGUGGCACUGUGGCUCGAACCAAUGUCCAGCUUCCACACUAUCUGCUUGGAAGAGGAUUACCCUUAUUUGGAAGUCUCAGUUUUGAGGAUUUGGGGAAAGCAGGCACGCAAGCAGACACACCUUAUUCUCUACAGCAUCAUUUAUACCUCAACUAAGUCAGCUGAACAAAUGCCUGCUGAAAAGUUCUGGGAGUGGCAUAGCUAAGAACCAGAAAGGCGAUCUUUCUUUUGGAUUAAGUCAACAGAGUCAUACCCACAAGGAGAACUAUCAAAUAUCAGAUGCGAGAGGUGAAGUGGGGUUAUAAGAUUCUACAUAACACAUUGCAAAUGGUCACAACAAUCAAGACUAUA